This 273-nucleotide ribosomal RNA is filed under the name uncultured Staphylococcus sp. RNAcentral's name for it is "partial 16S ribosomal RNA". It matches the Rfam family "Bacterial small subunit ribosomal RNA", at positions 90 to 355 of the family's 1533-position model. Lineage: Bacteria; Bacillati; Bacillota; Bacilli; Caryophanales; Staphylococcaceae. The record is from RNAcentral.
CGUUAGCGGCGGACGGGUGAGUAACACGUGGGUAACCUACCCAUAAGACUGGGAUAACUUCGGGAAACCGGAGCUAAUACCGGAUAAUAUUUCGAACCGCANUGGUUCGAUAGUGAAAGAUGGUUUUGCUAUCACUUAUAGAUGGACCUGCGCCGUAUUAGCUAGUUGGUAAGGUAACGGCUUACCAAGGCGACGAUACGUAGCCGACCUGAGAGGGUGAUCGGCCACACUGGAACUGAGACACGGUCCAGACUCCUACGGGAGGCAGCAGCC